This 76-nucleotide transfer RNA is filed under the name Solobacterium sp. RNAcentral's name for it is "tRNA-Ala". It matches the Rfam family "tRNA". From Rfam's summary of the family: Transfer RNA (tRNA) molecules are approximately 80 nucleotides in length. Their secondary structure includes four short double-helical elements and three loops (D, anti-codon, and T loops). Lineage: Bacteria; Bacillati; Bacillota; Erysipelotrichia; Erysipelotrichales; Erysipelotrichaceae. The record is from RNAcentral. RNAcentral also lists the same sequence under 1 other name.
GGGGUUUUAGCUCAGCUGGGAGAGCACCUGCUUUGCAAGCAGGGGGUCAGCGGUUCGAUCCCGCUAAGCUCCACCA